Micromonospora humi is the source of this 73-nucleotide non-coding RNA. NCBI's taxonomy places the organism in Bacteria, Bacillati, Actinomycetota, Actinomycetes, Micromonosporales, Micromonosporaceae. The record is from Rfam.
AGGGGCAUAGCUCAACUGGUAGAGCACCGGUCUCCAAAACCGAAGAUUGCAGGUUCGAGUCCUGUCGCCCCUG